This 799-nucleotide ribosomal RNA is filed under the name uncultured Glomus. RNAcentral describes it as "SSU rRNA". It matches the Rfam family "Eukaryotic small subunit ribosomal RNA", at positions 314 to 1114 of the family's 1831-position model. The record is from RNAcentral. Lineage: Eukaryota; Fungi; Glomeromycota; Glomeromycetes; Glomerales; Glomeraceae.
AUCAACUUUCGAUGGUAGGAUAGAGGCCUACCAUGGUGGUAACGGGUAACGGGGUGUUAGGGCACGACACCGGAGAGGGAGCCUGAGAAACGGCUACCACAUCCAAGGAUGGCAGCAGGCGCGCAAAUUACCCAAUCCCGACACGGGGAGGUAGUGACAAUAAAUAACAAUACGGGGUUCUUUAGGAUCUCGUAAUUGGAAUGAGUACAAUUUAAAUCUCUUAACGAGGAACAAUUGGAGGGCAAGUCUGGUGCCAGCAGCCGCGGUAAUUCCAGCUCCAAUAGCGUAUAUUAAAGUUGUUGCAGUUAAAAGGCUCGUAGUUGAAUUUCGGGGUUAGUAGGUUGGUCAUGCCUCUGGUAUGUACUGGUCUCACUGAUUCCUCCUUCCUGAUGAACCUUAAUGCCAUUUAUUUGGUGUUUUGGGGAAUUUGGACUGUUACUUUGAAAAAAUUAGAGUGUUUAAAGCAAGCUAACGCUUGAAUACAUUAGCAUGGAAUAAUGAAAUAGGACGUUCGAUCCUAUUUUGUUGGUUUCUAGGAUUGACGUAAUGAUUAAUAGGGAUAGUUGGGGGCAUUAGUAUUCAAUUGUCAGAGGUGAAAUUCUUGGAUUUAUUGAAGACUAACUACUGCGAAAGCAUUUGCCAAGGAUGUUUUCAUUAAUCAAGAACGAAAGUUAGGGGAUCGAAGACGAUCAGAUACCGUCGUAGUCUUAACCAUAAACUAUGCCGACUAGGGAUCGGAUGAUGUUAAUUUUUUAAUGACUCAUUCGGCGCCUUACGGGAAACCAAAGUGUUUGGGUUC